Aotus nancymaae (Ma's night monkey) is the source of this 3877-nucleotide long non-coding RNA. The record is from Ensembl. NCBI's taxonomy places the organism in Eukaryota, Metazoa, Chordata, Mammalia, Primates, Aotidae.
GGCCGUCAGAAGGACUGAGUAGAUUAAUCCUGAGAAGUGCUCAGAACCAUGCCUGGCACAUAGUGGGAAUUCAGAGGCUGAGGCUGAGGCUGAUGAAGGCUGUGGGAAUAAUGGGAGCUAGAGAAAGGGGUCUCUGCAUCUUCACCUUUGCACAUCUGGUGUGUGUGCUCCUGCACCAAUGGAAGACAUGCGGGCAUGGCUGCCCCUGCCCAGGCAGCCAACUGGCUCAGUCCCUCAGCCCUGCCAGGCCAUUGAAUAAUUAAGCUGGCUGAGGGGUGACAGGGCUGGAAAGCCAAAAGUGACCAGGGUCUGGCCUUGCUUGGCUUUGGUGACGCGAUGGCCCUGGGAUCAUGGCCUUCUUGAACCCAUAAACAGGGGGUUGGGCCCCAAGACAGGCAAGGCCAGGCCAAGGUCUGUGCUGGUGGCCUCAAGCUGAAGUCAAGUAUGGACAGGAAGGGGGGUGCUCCAAGGCUACAGGAAAGGGAGUGCUAUGGAGCGAGAGUUUCUGUCCAUCGGCGCAACCCCCAUCCACUCGCACUCUGGAAUUCCAUUUCUUUCUUCCCAGUCCUCUCUCAAUUUUCACCUCCAAUUUAUUGAGCACUUAUUGCAUGCAGGACUCUGCCAAAGUACUUUACACAGAUCUGGUUCCUGCCCCCGCUCUCGCAUGAUGGGAAGUUCUGUCCCCUCCCGGAAUGAGCGAAGCCCUGUUACUUGGACUCCCAUCGCACCAGGAGACACAGAAAAGUACAAGGAAGAAAACAGAAAAGGUGACCCAGAGAGAGCUACUCUCAGAUGUUCACGGGAAUUCAGCUCAGCUCACGCAUUUAUAUUGAGAUCCUACUGUUGUCUGCUUUCUCAUUUUUCAUGAAAAUAAAACUUGACUCAAAGUUUCAUUUUCAAAUACCUUUGCUUAUUACUAUUAUUUGAAUACUUACACAUUCAAAAGGUUCAAAAGGUGUCCAGGGAGAAAUGAGGCCACCUCGCACUCCAGCCUCUGUUGAUCGUUUCUUGUGUGUCCUUCCUUCCCUGGGUCUAAGUCCUCUGCAGACCCCUGACUUCCAGCUCUCCUGCUCCUGUUCAUUUUGAGGUUCUUUUUUUAUUCACUCGAUUAUAAAUCAUGACAUUAAACCCUAACCCUAACCCUAAAAAAAAAAUAAGAAAACAAAAUUGUGACAUUAUUUUUAAAAAUCAGAACCUACAGACAAUCAAGAGAGGAACAUCAGGGAAGUGGAAUGAAGCCAGGUGUGGUGAUGCACGCCUGUAAUUCCAGCACUUUGAGAGGCUGAAACAGGAGGAUUACUUGGGUGCAGUUCAAGACGAGCCUGGGUAACAGUGAGAUCUUCAUCUCUACAAAAUUAAAACAACAAAAAAAUUAGCUGGAUGCGGUGGUACACACCUGUGGUCCCAGCUCCUCGGGAGGCUAAGGUGAGAGGAUGGCUUAAGCCCAGGAGGUUGAGGCUGCAGUGAGCCACGAUCAUGCCACUGCACUCCAGUCUGGGCGACAGGGAGAGAUCCCCUCCCAAAACCCAACCAAAUGAACAAACAAAUAAAAAAGGAAAGUAGAAUCUCUUGAAACCUUACUACCCCUUUGACAUUUUGGAGCACAUCCUCACAGGUCACUUGAUGUAUGUGCACAUUCUGGUAGCACCAGGUAUCUUUCCCUAGUGCUGAUCAAAGGUUUGGAUGACAUGUUUGUGUACCGAUCUGAUUGUUAUCUGCCUUCCCCACUGUGCAGUCAGUUCCAGGAGGCAGGCAGGACCGCGUCUGAGUCUUCCACACCAUAGUAGGUCCAUAACGAAUAUUAUCUGAAUGAAUGAGUGACUAGUGAAUUUUCAGAAGGGAUCGUACAGUAUAUAAUACUAUCCUGUGACCUAUUUUUUCACUUAAUGUUUUGGGGACAUCUUUCCACAUCUCCGCGUGGCGAAUCUCCAUUUUUCAUGUCUGCACAGAAUCACCACAAUAAACAUCUUUUUGAUGUUAGCCAGAAGCUUCUGCUGCCCCCAACCGGGAAGCUCUUUUUCAAAUGCAGAUCUGUUAACAAAUUCCAUAUGACCCACCCACGCCCCAGCCCUCUGGCCGAUUACUUUCAGUCUAACACUUCACUGGUUACACGGGCCCAUUGUUUUCUGGGACAAGUCAAGAUUUACUGUCUGUUCCUGACAUCAUGUUUUUCCAGAGAAGCUUAAGAGUGAAGAACUCUUCCCUCCCUACCUCCUGUUUCCGCCAGCUAAGGGUUCUGUAGAUUUGCUGAAGUUGGGAAACUUGGUGUAACCCUUGCCUCCCUGGCCACCUCACCACCAAGGGCACAGCCAAGCUCAUUCAUUCCUGCCUCAGGGCCUUUGCGCCGGCUGCUCUCUGUGCCCAGAAUACCCUUCCCUCCCUUAUUUGCUCAGCUCACUCCCUUACUGCUUUAGAUCUCUGCUUGAACGUCACCUUCUCAGAGAGGUCUUCCUCAACUGUUUUUCUACGUUAGCAUCUCCAAGUCACUUAUCCAGUGUUAGAUUUCCUUUUAAACGUUUUACUUGAUAUUGUAUUAGAUCAGAUUAUAUUAUGUUGUGCUGUGUUAGAUUAAUAUUUUGGGCUUUUAAAAUUGAUCGCCCACCUCCUCCACUCUGAGGACAGGGACUUGGGACUCUCUUUUCUUUUCUUUUUUUUUUUUUGAAACAGGGUUUUGUUCUUGUUGCCCAGGCUGGAGUGCAAUGGCACGAUCUCGGCUCACCACAACCUCCACCUCGUGAGUUCAAGCGAUUCUCCUGCCUCAGCCUCCCACGUAGUUGGAAUUACAGGCUUGCGUCACCACGCCCAGUUACUUUUUGUGUUUUUAGUAGAGACAGGGAUUCUCCAUGUUGGUCAGGCUGGUCUCCAACUCCUGACCUCAGGUGAUUCCCCCGCCUUGGCCUCCCAAAUGCUGGGACUAAAGGCACGAGCCACGGUGACUGGCGAGACUGUCUUUUCUUUCCUGCAGUAUCCCCAGCACUGGAAACAGGGCAUGGAGCAUGGUGGGUGCUUAGGAAAUAUUGGUUGAGUCGAUCCAUGUUAACUCCAGACUCCAAGGUUUCUUCCAAGCCUGAGAGCCCAAUGCCAUCAUUCAUUCAUUCCAGAUUUAUCUAUGGAGCACCUGCUGUGUGCCAGGGCUUGUUCAGAUGCUGGUGUUGUUCAGUACAACAGUGGACAAGGCAGACACAUCCUUCAGUAACAUCCCCUGGAAGAAUGUGCUCGGGGUCCAGGAGACACGUGUCCCUCAGAUAAUGGCACCAAGUUGACUUGCUGGCCUCAGGUUGGUGAAGUGAGGACAUGUCUCGAGGUCCCCACUCUCAGCCUCUGCAGAGCUGGGUAAGCCCUAAAGGUGACACAAACGGGAAUGGCGCUGCUGUCACCUUUACCUCUCGCUGCUGUUCUCUUGCCCCCAGUGGAGGAGAAACGAAGAAGGCGAUGCUAGAAACCUUUCGGGAUUCUUCCCACAAGCCCAGCCGUCUUUGUGAGGAGCUGACCUUUGCCCACUUUCUGGCUGCCCACACCCUGCAGUCACCCUUCAGGGAAUUUCCUACUCGCAGCUCUCAUCUCUCAAAGGACCCGCUAGAAAACUCGCUUUCCUAACCUCCCUAAGCAGCUCAGGUGCAGGCCUGCGACAUGGGCUCCCCUGAGGGAGGCCUCCAAUUAAAAAAUAAUAGGACAGAAGAGGUGGGAAAAAGAACCUGGGUCUGGAGGACGCAGUGGUGGCAUCCUUGGGAAGAAGUGGGGCUCACUGGAGCAGUUCUCCAUCAAAUUCCAGCCUGAUUCCUAGCUGCGUAGCCCCCAGUCCUGACUCGGUAAGCCCCCUGAGGGUCCUCCAGACCACCCAAUAAUCUUUAAUAAACUCCUUUCCUGUGUAAACUAG